ACGCACGCUGGCGGCGUGCUUAACACAUGCCAGUCGAACGGAAAGGCCCUGCUUUUGUGGGGUGCUCGAGUGGCGAGCGGGUGAGUAACACGUGAGUAACCUGCCCUUGACUUUGGGAUAACUUCAGGAAACUGGGGCUAAUACCGGAUAGGAGCUCCUGCUGCAUGGUGGGGGUUGGAAAGUUUCGGCGGUUGGGGAUGGACUCGCGGCUUAUCAGCUUGUUGGUGGGGUAGUGGCUUACCAAGGCUUUGACGGGUAGCCGGCCUGAGAGGGUGACCGGCCACAUUGGGACUGAGAUACGGCCCAGACUCCUACGGGAGGCAGCAGUGGGGAAUAUUGCACAAUGGGCGGAAGCCUGAUGCAGCAACGCCGCGUGCGGGAUGACGGCCUUCGGGUUGUAAACCGCUUUCGCCUGUGACGAAGCGUGAGUGACGGUAAUGGGUAAAGAAGCACCGGCUAACUACGUG
RNAcentral lists this ribosomal RNA (467 nucleotides) under uncultured bacterium. Its description in RNAcentral is "partial 16S ribosomal RNA". It matches the Rfam family "Bacterial small subunit ribosomal RNA", at positions 29 to 507 of the family's 1533-position model. The record is from RNAcentral.